ACUCAAAUGAAUUGACGGGGGCCCGCACAAGCAGCGGAGCGUGUGGUUUAAUUCGAGGCUACACGAAGAACCUUACCUGGGUUUGACAUACGUCUGGUAGGGACCUGAAAGGGAACCGACCGCAAGGAGGACGUACAGGUGCUGCAUGGCUGUCGUCAGCUCGUGCCGUGAGGUGUUAGGUUAAGUCCUGUAACGAGCGCAACCCUCGGCAGUAGUUACACGUAGUCUACUGCAACUGCCCGUGACAAGCGGGAGGAAGGUGGGGAUGACGUCAAGUCAGCAUGGCCUUUAUAUCCAGGGCUACACACACGCUACAAUGGCCGGUACAAUGGGUCGCCAAGCCGCAAGGCGGAGCCAAUCCACCAAAGCCGGUCUCAGUUCGGAUUGAGGGCUGCAACCCGCCCUCAUGAAGUCGGAGUUGCUAGUAACCGCCGGUCAGCCAUACGGCGGUGAAUACGUUCCCGGGCCUUGUACACACCGCCCGU
This 485-nucleotide ribosomal RNA is filed under the name uncultured bacterium. RNAcentral describes it as "partial 16S ribosomal RNA". It matches the Rfam family "Bacterial small subunit ribosomal RNA", at positions 899 to 1397 of the family's 1533-position model. The record is from RNAcentral.